Long non-coding RNA from Sinocyclocheilus grahami, 357 nucleotides. RefSeq lists it as uncharacterized. The record is from RefSeq and is a predicted model, not a curated record. Lineage: Eukaryota; Metazoa; Chordata; Actinopteri; Cypriniformes; Cyprinidae. The transcript is spliced from 3 exons.
GUGAUUCAGAUCGCAUGUGGAGACCAUCAUUCAAUGGCACUAACCAAGGAUGGUCAGGUGUUGGUAUGGGGUGAGAACUCUCAUGGUCAGCUGGGUUUGAGGAAAGAUCAUCCCGGCUCUCCGUCUGCUCAACAUGUUCAGAGUCUGAGUGGGAUCCCGCUGGCUCAGAUCAGCGCUGGAGGAGACCACAGCUUUGUGUUGUCUCUCUCUGGAGUCGUGUUUGGAUGGGGAAAGAACUCUGCUGGACAGCUGGGCCUCGGAGACACUACAGACAGACACAUCCCAACAAUUAUAAAUAGCCUUCAAUUGAAGAAAACUGUGUCCAUCUCGUGUGGAGGGGAACACACUGCCACUUUA